GAUGAAGAACGCAGCGAAAUGCGAUACGUAGUGUGAAUUGCAGAAUUCAGUGAAUCAUCGAAUCUUUGAACGCACAUUGCGCCCUUUGGUAUUCCAAAGGGCAUGCCUGUUCGAGCGUCAUUUGUACUCUCAAGCUUUGCUUGGUGUUGGGCGUCUUGUCUCCAGUCCGCUGGAGACUCGCCUUAAAGUCAUUGGCAGCCGGCCUACUGGUUUCGGAGCGCAGCACAAGUCGCACUCUUUUCCAGCCAAGGUCAGUGUCCAACAAGCCUUUUUUCAACUUUUGACCUCGGAUCAGGUAGGGAUACCCGCUGAACUUAAGCAUAUCAAUAAGCGGAGGA
RNAcentral lists this unclassified non-coding RNA (338 nucleotides) under soil metagenome. RNAcentral's name for it is "partial contains 5.8S ribosomal RNA, internal transcribed spacer 2, and large subunit ribosomal RNA". The stretch from base 1 to 120 matches the Rfam family "5.8S ribosomal RNA", at positions 35 to 154 of the family's 154-position model. The record is from RNAcentral.